Molecule: unclassified non-coding RNA, 315 nt
Filed under: fungal sp.
Lineage: Eukaryota; Fungi
Description: partial internal transcribed spacer region
Rfam family: Eukaryotic small subunit ribosomal RNA (bases 1-45)
Source: RNAcentral
AGUCGUAACAAGGUAUCCGUAGGUGAACCUGCGGAUGGAUCAUUAACACACACAUACACAAAACCUAUUUUUUCUUUUGUUGUCAUGCUCCAUGACGACAAAAGAGAAAAUAUGCCCUUCAGCGAACUGUUAAAGUCUCUUAACACAACACACAAACCUCAUUCAAAAAAAUUUAAUCUAAAAAUCAAUUAUUUUCCCUUUAACCUCUCCCCUUUGCUUGUAAAAAAGCAAGUGUAGAAGGAAAAAAAAAAAGAGAAAAUAAAAAAACAUUAACAAAAGGACACAAUUUUUGACAAUGGAUAUCUUGGCUCGCUG